UAAACUUUAAGUUAUAAAAACUAAGUGCCUUCAAAGCACUAAAAGAGAGUCACUCAAGUUUAU
This 63-nucleotide transfer RNA is filed under the name Jesogammarus hinumensis. RNAcentral's name for it is "tRNA-Trp". The record is from RNAcentral. Lineage: Eukaryota; Metazoa; Arthropoda; Malacostraca; Amphipoda; Anisogammaridae.